AUGUACGCGGCCCUCAGUGCGGCGCAAUGGGUGGUGGGCAAGGCGCUAGCCCCUGUUGCGGAUGGGGUGCUGGAGGCAUGGGCGGCCACCAGGAACUUCGGUUUCAACAUCGAGGCCCUCAGCAUGGAACUAAUGCUGGUGAAGGCCACGCUCGAACAAGCUGGCCGUAAGGAGCUCGGCGGGCCGGCCAUGGAGAUGUUGUUGCAGAAGCUGCGUGACUCGGCGCAAAAUGCUGAAGACUUGCUAGAUGAGCUCGACUACUUCCGCAUCCACGAUGAGCUCCACGGCACCCACGAUGCUGCAGGCGAGCACGACAAGGGUUGCUUCCACAACCUUGCCUUCAAUGCUCGCCACACCGCCAAAGCUUUUGGCAAACUGGUCAACUGUGCUAAGCAUCGGCAGAGGUCACACAGCGACUCCUCGGCCCCAGACACCAAUCAGGAGCUUAGCGGAUGCAUGCCCAAGAUCGGUAAACUCCUCACUUGCUCAUCUUCCCCGCAUCCACAUGUUCGUGAUGAUGACUAUGAUAGUGAUGAUGACUGUGGCAAUGUGCAAGAAACACCAAAGCUUGAGUUUAAUAGGGUUUAUUUCUCUCAAAGGAUGAAGGACAUUGUAGAGAAAUUGCAACUUAUGCGCAAUGAGGUUAGCAAGAUUCUGAUACAUUGUGGCCCUAGAACUGUCCCAGACAUUGCCCUGAGUCGUCCUAUCACCAAAAGUAGAAUUGAUGAGCCAAAACUGUAUGGAAGGGACCAUGUCAUGAAUAGCAUCAUACAUGAUAUCACCAAGGGUCAAUACUAUGACAAGGGUCUAACUGUGCUGCCGGUAGUGGGUCCAGGGGGAAUGGGGAAGACAACUCUUAUACAACACAUAUAUCGCAACCAGCAAGUGCAGAAUCAUUUUCCAGCGAGCCCCGAUGGCGGUGGUUGGAGCAGUGUGGUGGGGACUGCUCGUGAGGAACGCGGGUGGUGCCCGCUGGUGCUUGCGGUAGCCUCGUCAACAUGCUUAUUGGCAGCCUCGCCAGUGUGCUUGCAGGCGGUGGCGGCCGUGCUUGUCGGCGGCCUCGUUGGCGUGUUUGCUAGAGGCGGCGGUCAGAGCAGUGCGCAGAGGUUGUAG
RNAcentral lists this ribosomal RNA (1113 nucleotides) under Triticum aestivum (bread wheat). RNAcentral's name for it is "partial small subunit ribosomal RNA". The record is from RNAcentral. Lineage: Eukaryota; Viridiplantae; Streptophyta; Magnoliopsida; Poales; Poaceae.